Molecule: ribosomal RNA, 481 nt
Filed under: uncultured bacterium
Lineage: Bacteria
Description: partial 16S ribosomal RNA
Rfam family: Bacterial small subunit ribosomal RNA
Source: RNAcentral
GACGAACGCUGGCGGCGUGCUUAACACACGCAAGUCGAACGCUGAAGCCCUUUCGGGGGUGGAUGAGUGGCGAACGGGUGAGUAACACGUGGGUAAUCUGCCCUGCACUCUGGGAUAAGCCUUGGAAACGGGGUCUAAUACCGGAUAGGACACAUCGCCGCAUGGUGUGUGUGUGGAAAGUUCCGGCGGUGCAGGUUGAGCCCGCGGCCUAUCAGCUUGUUGGUGGGGUGAUGGCCUACCAAGGCGACGACGGGUAGCCGGCCUGAGAGGGUGACCGGCCACACUGGGACUGAGGCACGGCCCAGACUCCUACGGGAGGCAGCAGGGGGGAAUCGUGCGCAAUGGGCGAAAGCCUGACGCAGCAACGCCGCGUGGGGGAUGACGGCCUUCGGGUUGUAAACCUCUUUCGACCGGGACGAAGGGUGACUGACGGUACCGGUAGAAGAAGCACCGGCUAACUACGUGCCAGCAGCCGCAGUAA